This 488-nucleotide ribosomal RNA is filed under the name uncultured bacterium. Its description in RNAcentral is "partial 16S ribosomal RNA". It matches the Rfam family "Bacterial small subunit ribosomal RNA", at positions 30 to 507 of the family's 1533-position model. The record is from RNAcentral.
AUUGAACGCUGUCGGCAGGCCUAACACAUGCAAGUCGAACGGUAGCACAGAGAGCUUGCUCUCGGGUGACGAGUGGCGGACGGGUGAGUAAUGUCUGGGAAACUGCCCGAUGGAGGGGGAUAACUACUGGAAACGGUAGCUAAUACCGCAUAAUGUCGCAAGACCAAAGAGGGGGACCUUCGGGCCUCUUGCCAUCGGAUGUGCCCAGAUGGGAUUAGCUAGUUGGUGAGGUAAUGGCUCACCAAGGCGACGAUCCCUAGCUGGUCUGAGAGGAUGACCAGCCACACUGGAACUGAGACACGGUCCAGACUCCUACGGGAGGCAGCAGUGGGGAAUAUUGCACAAUGGGCGCAAGCCUGAUGCAGCCAUGCCGCGUGUGUGAAGAAGGCCUUCGGGUUGUAAAGCACUUUCAGCGGGGAGGAAGGCAAUACGGUUAAUAACCGUGUUGAUUGACGUUACCCGCAGAAGAAGCACCGGCUAACUCCGUG